GUACACACUUCAGCAGUACAUAUACUAAAAUUAGAAAGAUACAGAGAUGAUUAGCACAACCCUCGAGGAACGAUGCCACGAAAAGUUGUGGGGUUCGAUUAC
This 102-nucleotide small nuclear RNA is filed under the name Trichobilharzia regenti. Lineage: Eukaryota; Metazoa; Platyhelminthes; Trematoda; Strigeidida; Schistosomatidae. The record is from RNAcentral.